Molecule: ribosomal RNA, 468 nt
Filed under: uncultured bacterium
Lineage: Bacteria
Description: partial 16S ribosomal RNA
Rfam family: Bacterial small subunit ribosomal RNA
Source: RNAcentral
GACGAACGCUGGCGGCGUGCUUAACACAUGCAAGUCGAACGGAAAGGCCCUGCUUUUGUGGGGUGCUCGAGUGGCGAACGGGUGAGUAACACGUGAGUAACCUGCCCUUGACUUUGGGAUAACUUCAGGAAACUGGGGCUAAUACCGGAUAGGAGCUCCUGCUGCAUGGUGGGGGUUGGAAAGUUUCGGCGGUUGGGGAUGGACUCGCGGCUUAUCAGCUUGUUGGUGGGGUAGUGGCUUACCAAGGCUUUGACGGGUAGCCGGCCUGAGAGGGUGACCGGGCACAUUGGGACUGAGAUACGGCCCAGACGCGUACGGGAGGCAGCAGUGGGGAAUAUUGCACAAUGGGCGGAAGCCUGAUGCAGAAACGCCGCGUGCGGGAUGACGGCCUUCGGGUUGUAAACCGCUUUCGCAUGUGACGAAGCGUGAGUGACGGUAAUGGGUAAAGAAGCACCGGCUAACUACGUG